GUUUCAGUUUGUUAUCCAGCGGUCAGACCGCCUUCAGUUCAUUCUUAAAUAAGUGUUUGUAUAAGCGGGACGGCCCAGACGUUAACCCGGGCCCUCCCGAAAAGUUCACAGGGGUUUGGUUUGGACGAGUGCACACGCGGCCCCCGCGACACGGCGUUUCCACCGGUGCUGAGGGCCGCGGCGCCCCGGAUGAAGUUUCAAUAAUGAUCCUUCCGCAGGUUCACCUACGGAAA
RNAcentral lists this unclassified non-coding RNA (233 nucleotides) under uncultured fungus. Its description in RNAcentral is "sequence contains ITS1". Lineage: Eukaryota; Fungi. The record is from RNAcentral.